UACAGAGGGUGCAAGCGUUAAUCGGAAUUACUGGGCGUAAAGCGCGCGUAGGUGGUUUGUUAAGUUGGAUGUGAAAAUCCCCGGGCCCGAACCUAGGGAACGUAGCAUUCAAAACUAGACAAGCUAGAGUAUGGUAGAGGGUGGUGGAAUUUCCUGUGUAGCGGUGAAAUGCGUAGAUAUAGGAAGGAACACCAGUGGCGAAGGCGACCACCUGG
This 215-nucleotide ribosomal RNA is filed under the name uncultured bacterium. RNAcentral describes it as "partial 16S ribosomal RNA". It matches the Rfam family "Bacterial small subunit ribosomal RNA", at positions 524 to 732 of the family's 1533-position model. The record is from RNAcentral.